This 433-nucleotide ribosomal RNA is filed under the name uncultured bacterium. RNAcentral's name for it is "partial 16S ribosomal RNA". It matches the Rfam family "Bacterial small subunit ribosomal RNA", at positions 29 to 507 of the family's 1533-position model. The record is from RNAcentral.
AACGAACGCUGGCGGCAUGCCUAACACAUGCAAGUCGAACGAGACCUUCGGGUCUAGUGGCGCACGGGUGCGUAACGCGUGGGAACCUGCCCUUAGGUUCGGAAUAACUCCCCGAAAGGGGUGCUAAUACCGGAUAAUGUCUUCGGACCAAAGAUUUAUCGACUUUGGAUGGGCCCGCGUUGGAUUAGCUAGUUGGUAGGGUAAUAGCCUACCAAGGCGACGAUCCAUAGCUGGUAUGAGAGGAUGAUCAGCCACACUGGGACUGAGACGCGGCCCAGACUCCUACGGGAGGCAGGAGUGGGGAAUAUUGGAAAGUGGGCGAAAUGCUGAUCCAGCAAUGCCGCGUGAGUGAUGAAGGCCUUAGGGUUGUAAAGCUCUUUUACCCGUGAUGAUAAUGACAGUACCGGGAGAAUAAGCUCCGGCUAACUCCGUG